RNAcentral lists this ribosomal RNA (440 nucleotides) under uncultured bacterium. RNAcentral's name for it is "partial 16S ribosomal RNA". It matches the Rfam family "Bacterial small subunit ribosomal RNA", at positions 338 to 795 of the family's 1533-position model. The record is from RNAcentral.
CCUACGGGGGGCAGCAGUGAGGAAUAUUGGUCAAUGGGCGGGAGCCUGAACCAGCCAAGCCGCGUGAGUGAAGAAGUAUUUCGGUAUGUAAAGCUCUAUCAGCAGGGAAGAAGAUGACGGUACCUGAGUAAGAAGCCCCGGCUAACUACGUGCCAGCAGCCGCGGUAAUACGUAGGGGGCAAGCGUUAUCCGGAUUUACUGGGUGUAAAGGGAGCGUAGACGGUGAGGCAAGACUGAAGUGAAAGCCCGGGGCUCAACCCCGGGACUGCUUUGGAAACUGCCUGACUGGAGUGCUGGAGAGGCAAGCGGAAUUCCUAGUGUAGCGGUGAAAUGCGUAGAUAUUAGGAAGAACACCAGUGGCGAAGGCGGCUUGCUGGACAGUAACUGACGUUGAGGCUCGAAAGCGUGGGGAGCAAACAGGAUUAGAUACCCUAGUAGUC